CUGAAUUGUCAACAAGAGUUGUUGCUGGUCCCCGAAUAGGGACAUGUGCACGCUCUGUUACAUCCACUUACACCUGUGCACCCUCUGUAGUUCUAUGGUCAAGGGGCCCUGUCCUCCUGCUGUGGUUCUGCAUCUUUACACACACACACUGUAACAAAGUCUCAUGGAAUGUAUGUCGUGAUUAACACAAUACAAUA
Molecule: unclassified non-coding RNA, 197 nt
Filed under: uncultured Tomentella
Lineage: Eukaryota; Fungi; Basidiomycota; Agaricomycetes; Thelephorales; Thelephoraceae
Description: sequence contains ITS1
Source: RNAcentral